Mytilus californianus (California mussel) is the source of this 965-nucleotide long non-coding RNA. RefSeq lists it as uncharacterized. The record is from RefSeq and is a predicted model, not a curated record. The transcript has 3 exons. Lineage: Eukaryota; Metazoa; Mollusca; Bivalvia; Mytilida; Mytilidae.
UAAGCACGCCAAUAUCAAUAAAUAGUGAUAAUCAAAUUCCUGCAAACUCAACAGAAUCAGCGUUCGAUGUAUCAUUUAAGCCUACUUCUACACAGAUAGCUGAUGUACAGAGAUCUGGUGUAAAGAACAAUACAUUUGUUGUAGGAGAAGUAGUCAUUGUGAAUGUUGUUCUCUUCGGACUGUGUAUUCUCGUUGUCAUUAUGAUAAUCCUAAGAAAGCGAUUGACUUUACAAGUUUGUCAAACAGCCAAACAGAAAUUUCAAAGGUCUAACAUCAGUAAAAAUCCAAUGGUACAAACAAAUGGAAAUAGUGAAAUGAAGAACAGAAAUAAAACUGAAUUGGUUCGUGACAGCUAUGAUGAAACUUGGGAACUACGUCGUAAUAUAGUUCAUAUUGGCAAACUUGACCAGCAGGAUAUCAUUAUUGUUCAAACGGAGGAAACGGAAAUUUGAAAAAUUCUAUUGAUAGUUGAAAGCAAUUGAAAUUUUGUAUUGUUUUUGCUAAGUUCAACAACUCAAAACCCAACUUUCACUUCCUCUAGUUUUUGCCUUCAUAAAUGACUCAUAUAGUUUAAUACAAAAUUCGUAUGAUAUCAAUUCCGCGCGACUAAUCUGUGUUUCUCGGACAACCAUAAGUAGAUACAAUCGAGCCAAAAGUUUGAAAAGACAAAUACAUAAAACGUUUGUAACGAGCAUGAGUUCAAAUUUAGCUAAUGAAAGUACAUUCUUACUUUUAAAACAAUGAAUGAGCUUGUAGUCUGAAAAUUAAGUUAUAAAAUGUUAUAUUACUUCAUUCAGAUAACGACGUACUGACGUCGGGACAUAUGGUUGUGUAUCGGCUGUUUUUAGGACACACCAACUUUAAGUAUUAUAAAAAUUUCCCAAUGAUCAUCUUUAUAGAUGUUAUGAAAACAUGUUAUGUUCAGUCUUCAAAUCCUCAUAGUUAAAAAAACAAGUUUAUUUACA